AGAACCUUACCAGCCCUUGACAUGUGGCUCGCCGGGAGCAGAGACGCUCCCUUCGGUUCGGCCGGAGUCAACACAGGUGCUGCAUGGCUGUCGUCAGCUCGUGUCGUGAGAUGUUGGGUUAAGUCCCGCAACGAGCGCAACCCUCGUCUCCAGUUGCCAUCAGGUUAUGCUGGGCACUUUGGAGAAACUGCCGGUGACAAGCCGGAGGAAGGUGGGGAUGACGUCAAGUCCUCAUGGCCCUUACGGGCUGGGCUACACACGUGCUACAAUGGCGGUGACAAUGGGAUGCGAUGGCGCGAGCCGGAGCCGAUCCUAAAAUACCGUCUCAGUUCGGAUUGCACUCUGCAACUCGAGUGCAUGAAGUUGGAAUCGCUAGUAAUCGAGGAUCAGCAUGCCUCGGUGAAUACGUUCCCGGGCCUUGUCACACCGA
RNAcentral lists this ribosomal RNA (430 nucleotides) under uncultured soil bacterium. RNAcentral's name for it is "bacterial SSU rRNA". It matches the Rfam family "Bacterial small subunit ribosomal RNA", at positions 965 to 1393 of the family's 1533-position model. The record is from RNAcentral.